This 1935-nucleotide long non-coding RNA is filed under the name Macaca fascicularis (crab-eating macaque). Its description in RNAcentral is "lncRNA (ENSMFAG00000052519.1)". Lineage: Eukaryota; Metazoa; Chordata; Mammalia; Primates; Cercopithecidae. The record is from RNAcentral.
UUCAGCCCCUUACACACACACACACACCAGCCUUACACACACACACACACAUUCAGCUCCUACAUACACCCAGCCCCUACACACAAACACACACAACCCCUACACACACACCCAGCCCCUACACACACACACACACCCAGCCCCUACACACAUCCAGCCCCUACACACACACACACCCAGCCCCACACACACACCCCAGCCCCUUUACACACACACACACACCCAGCCCCUACACACACACACCCCCAGCCCCUACACACACACACAUAUACACACAUUCAGCCCCUACACACACACACACACCCAGCCCCUACACACACACACACAUAUACACACAUUCAGCUACACACACACCCAGCCCCUACACACACACACACACACCCAGCCCCUACACACACACACCCCCAGCCCAUACACACACACCCAGCCCCUAACACACACACACACACCCCACACACACACACACACCCAGCCCCUUACACACACACACCUAGCCCCUUCACACACACACACACACACCCAGCCCCUACACACACACACACCCAGCCCCUACACACACACACACCCAGCCCCUACACACACACACACACACCCAGCACCAUACACAUACAUUACACCCAGCCCCUUACACACACACACACACACAAUUUUACACACACACAUCCAGCCCCUACACACACACACACACCCAGCCCCUACACACACACACACAUAUUCAGCCCUCCACACACACACACCCAGCCCUCCACACACACAAACACACACACACACACACACCUAGCCCCUUUACACACACACAUUCAGCCCUCCACACACACCCACACACACACCCAGCCCCUACACACACACACAUACCCAGCCCCUACACACACACACACCCACACACCCAGUCCCUACACACACACACACCCAGCCCCUCCCACACACAGCUGCUCCACACACACCCAGCCCCUCCACACACACACAUACACACACAUCCAGACCCUCCACACACACAGCCACCCCCCACACCCAGCCCCUCCACACACACCAGCCCCUCCACACACACCCAGCCGCUCCACACACACACCAGCCCCUACACACACAUCCAGCCUCUCCACACAAACACACCCAGCCCCUACACACACACCCAGCCCCUACACACAGCCCCUCAACACACACCCCAUUUCCUCCACACACACACCCAGCCUCCCAGACACACCCCCCAGCCCCUCCACAGACACACCCAGCUCCUCCCGACACAAAGCACCUCCCCACACACACACAGCCCUCCAUACAUACACACCCAACCCUCCACUACACACACCCAGCCCCUACACACACACACCCCAACCCCUACAUACACACACACACACACACACUCAGCCCAUCCACACACACACACACCCAGCCCAUCUAGACACACACCCCAGCCCCUCCAGACACACACCCCAGCCCCUCCAGACACACACCCCAGCCCCUCCACAGACACACCCAGCUCCUCCCGACACAAAGCACCUCCCCAACACACACACAGCCCCUCCACAUACAUACACAGCCAACCCCUCCACACACACACCCAGCCCCUACACACACACCCAGCCCCUACACACACACACCCCUAACCCCUACACACACACACACACACUCAGCCCCUCCACACACACACACCCAGCCCAUCCAGACACACACCCCAGCCCCUCCAGACACACACCCCAGCCCCUCCAGACACACACCCCAGCCCCUCCACAGACACACCCAGCUCCUCCCGACACAAAGCACCUCCCCAACACACACACAGCCUCUCCACAUACAUUCACACACACCCCCAGCACACUCACUUACACACACACCCACACACAUCCAACUCCUUCACACACACAUCCAGCCCCUACACACACAUCCAGCCCCUACACACACGCACAUCCAGCCCCAUCCACACACACACACCCCUAA